Molecule: ribosomal RNA, 498 nt
Filed under: uncultured bacterium
Lineage: Bacteria
Description: partial 16S ribosomal RNA
Rfam family: Bacterial small subunit ribosomal RNA
Source: RNAcentral
GACGAACGCUGGCGGCGUGCCUAAUACAUGCAAGUCGAACGAGAGCGACCGGUGCUUGCACUGGUCAAUCUAGUGGCGAACGGGUGAGUAACACGUGGGUAACCUGCCCAUCAGAGGGGGAUAACAUUCGGAAACGGAUGCUAAAACCGCAUAGGUCUUCGAACCGCAUGGUUUGAAGAGGAAAAGAGGCGCAAGCUUCUGCUGAUGGAUGGACCCGCGGUGCAUUAGCUAGUUGGUGAGGUAACGGCUCACCAAGGCCGUGAUGCAUAGCCGACCUGAGAGGGUGAUCGGCCACAUUGGGACUGAGACACGGCCCAAACUCCUACGGGAAGCAGCAGUAGGGAAUCUUCCGCAAUGGACGCAAGUCUGACGGAGCAACGCCGCGUGAGUGAAGAAGGUGUUCGGAUCGUAAAACUCUGUUGUUAGAGAAGAACAAGUGCUAGAGUAACUGUUAGCGCCUUGACGGUAUCUAAACAGAAAGCCACGGCUAACUACGUG